UAGAAAAGGAUGAGAAGAAGUUUACAGAAAUGUAAAAUAUGAAACCAGAAUCAAUGUCUGAAAAUAGAUAUCGAUUCGUGAAACCACUCUCUGGCAGAGACAAAGAAAUGGAAAGGAAACAAAGGCCACAAUUUGACAAUUAAGUCCUUCAAUGGUAUAUUGCUUGUGAAGGGGAAGGAAUUCCUUAUGCUUCAAUUUGGGUUCCAGAAUAGUGCUAGAAAGGUGUCAUUCUUUGUCCAGAUAGCAACAUAAGGAUCCAUUGUAACAGCAGUAAUCUAACAGUUUGUGCUAGUUGGCGUUCUGUGCGCGUGAAGGCAGAGCAAGAUGUAACAUUAAUCAAUUGAUGCUAUAAUGUCCACCUACAUAAAAGUCAUGGUGUACAGCUAAGUUGCUCCGACACAGCAGAUUAGGUGCCGCACCUGUUGACGUGACACUAGUAUGGGUGUGGGUAUAGGAUCCGUAACGGAUCUGGUCAAACAAUUUUGGGUACUUUGACAACAACGGACGGAAAAAUUCGAGAUGAGAUACAAUUUGAUUCCCGAAAUCAGAAGUAAAACUAGGGUAAAUUUGAAGAAAAUAGCAUACUUUAUUUGCGAAAUCAAUCCUUUACUUAUCUAUAAUUUGAGAAUAAAAAAACAUCCACACUUUACAAGCUAUACGUAGCGCUAAAGGCGUGUAGCGAGGCGAGGCGAGGCUUUAACGCCACAAAGGGCACUGUUGCGUGGCGAGGAAGAAAAGCGUGCGCCACAGCUUUUGUGGCGAGGCGAGGCGCGUGGCGAUGCGAGGCGUCGCUAUUUUGAUAAUACAAAAAAAUUAAAACACAGCAGUCCUUCUGUUGCUCCAGUCGACAAAAUUAGGCUUCAUUCACUCCAUCUUCUUCUUCUUCCAUCGUCUGCGACAGCACCAGCCAGGUAUGUUCUUCACUUCUUCUUUCUUCUUUUCUCUUUCUCGACUCGACCAGAUUUUUUUUUGCUUUCUUUCUUAUUUCUUCUUUCUUCUUUCUUCUUUUCUCUUCUCGACUCGACCAAACUCUCCGUUUUAUUUUCUUUCUUCUUUCUUCUUUCUUCUUUCUUCUUUCUUCUUUCUUCUUUCUUCUUCUUCUUUCUUCUUUUCUCUUUCGCGACCAGCACUAUGUGCUCUGCUUUCUGCGACCAGCACUGUCCAGUGCUCUGUUUUUCGAAACUCUGUUUUUCUUUCUUUCUUCUUUCUUCUUUCUUCUUUCGCGACCAUCACUGUGUCCAGGCAGCAACAACUCUGUUUUUCGCGACCAGAGCCAGACUAUGCUCUGUUUUUCGCGACCAGAGCCAGACUAUGCUCUGUUUUUCGCGACCAGAGUAUGCUCUGUUUUUCGCGACCAGCACUGUGCAGUGCUCUGUUUUUCGCGACCAACACUGUCCAAUGCUCUGUUUUUCGGUCCAGGCAGCAACAACUCUAUUUUUCGCGACCAGAGCCAGACUAUGCUCUGUUUUUCGCGACCAGCACUGUCCAGGCAGCAGCAACAGCAACUCUUUUUUUCGCGACCAGACUAUGCUCUAUUUUUCUUCUUUCGAAGAGCACCUGCACAGAUAAAACAAGAAAAAUUAAUCUGCAAUUCUGCUAAAUUAAUCUAUUGAGUUUUUAAUUUUUAAAUUGAUAUAUUUACUAUUAACAUAUUAUUGUAAUUGAGUUUUUAGUUUUAUAUAUAUAUAUAUAUAUAUAUAUAUAUAUAUAUAUAUAUAUAUAUAUAUAUAGUUUUAUAUAAAAUAUUUUAUUUUUUUUGUAAAAAUUGUCGCCUCACAUAAAAAAGGCGAGCGCUUCGUUGCGCGCCUCUCGCCUCACUGAAGCGAGCCCUCGUCGCUAUUUGUCGCCGCGUGCUAUCAAAAACAUUAAUUUAGAGAUAUUUUUAUAUUUUUGAAUUAUUUUUAGCCGGAUCCCACACCCGUAUCCGUACUAGGAUCCGUAUCCUUGAAUCUUAGAAUUUACGUCUCGAAGGAUCCGACCUCUAGAUCCGCACCCGUGUCCGAGCAACUUAUGUGUACAGUGUGAAACAUGUUUGGAAUUAGAUGGUGGCACAAAGUAGAGAGCUAUCAGUCUAUCACUUUGGUUGGAAGUGUAGAAGCAGAAAAUACAAAAGAUGAGCAUUUUGGACCUGAUUUGGACCGCAUGGAAAGAAACAAAUGUGAUGUUAAUAGAAUAUUUUUAAUUUCUCUACAGUUUUGGUACAGAUUUGGUAGGGCGGACUCAUAGAGGAUUGGAUGUUAUAGAGAAUCAUGUUCCUGUGCAGGAUUCUAUUUAAUGUUUACAUUUUUUAGGUAGUUAAGGAAAAAUUUCUUACCAAGGAAAAAAAAAUACAGACGAAAUGAAAAACCCCUAAAACUGGACACAGUUUUAGAAACACCGGCCUCAGAGUCUCCAACUAGCUACAAACAUCAUGAAACUACAGCUGAUAUUGGCUAAUCUAUUUAAUGUUUACAUUACGAUUUACAUAGCCUUUUAUCUUUACACAGAAAAAUGGCAAUCCAAAUAAAAAAUUAAGCCACAAAAAAAGAUCGGGUUUAUUUACAGAUAGCUAAGAGCCUGACUUUAAAGAAAACAUUUUGAUCACUUUCUCUCAAUUAAUCUACUAUUACUAUUUUCCAGCGAUUUGGCUUCUUAGACAAUUGAAGAGAACCGAACUAGAUCUAUUUUCACUGUUUGUGUAGUCUUUUUUUUAUUUGCACCGCGUAUCCGAGUCUCUUCAAGCCCGACUAAUCUCGGGGAUGCACAGGCCCUUGGCAAGGAGUUUCUCGCAAGUGCACCACGGUUAAUUCAGGUUUUACCCAGUCUGAUGAUCCUCAGAAAUGUUUGCACCCAGUGGGUUUCAAACUUGAGGCCUUGAAAGGGAGCAAACCCCAAGGCUCAAGUCAAUUGCCACCAGGCCAACCCCGGUUGUUAAUUAGUCUUUUUCUUCUUUUGUUACUCAAUCUACUACUUUUCUUCAUCACUCUUCCUCUUUCUUGGUGCUUUUGCCGGUUCUUCCAUCUUUUUAUGAUGGAAAAUAUGAUACUUAUGUGAAUUACCAUGUUUCUGCGGCCUAAAAGGUCAAAAUUUCUUAAAAGGAUAUGUUAUUUAUAGUUUUCAUGUUCAGUUUGAAAUAGAGAUGCUACAAAUGAUUAAUAGAAAUCAACUCCCAAAUAAAUUACUUAGGUAAUGCUAGAAGUUGGAACAUUUUAUAUCAUCUCUACAAUAGAAUUGAUUAUUUUGUAAAUUAUGAGUCACAAUCCUGAGUGAAUAAUAUAAACUAAUGCCAGUUGAUUAUUUGGUUGAAGAAACUCAAGCUUUUUAUUUCCAGUAUCAAAUUUAAAGCAUAACCAUAAGUCAGUUUAUGCAACUCGGAAAACUGCAAGUUGAUGCCUUCUGUGAUAAAGGAGAGCACGUGUGAACUUUAACUAAAGGAUUGUAAUGUAGAUAUAUGUAUUCACUACAUCAGUAUUCAAUUUACAAGCUUGUGCAUGAACCAUAUUUGUAGCGUCAAUUUUAUAUUUCAGCUUUAUUUUCAAACAAAAUGAUGUAAUAUUAGUUGUUUAUAUUAAUUAGGAGCUUGUUCUUUAUGCACAAAAAUCAUUUUUAUAUUUCAGCUUUAUUUGCAAAAGAUAAUGUAAUAUUAGUUGUUUAUAUUACUUAGGAGCUUGUUCUUUAUGCACAAAAAAUUGAGCAAAGACGUGGAUCAUCCUCCUAUGUUGUCAGGUGACGAUUCGCUUACGGCGGGAGAAUUUGAGAUGGUUAGGACUAAAGGGACGAUGCCGAGCACAGUGAAUGAGCCACUAUGCAGUUGGGGCUGAGUAAGACCAGGCGAAGGAUGUGGGAUGUUGCCCCAGUAGCACUCAUGUGGGUC
RNAcentral lists this long non-coding RNA (3853 nucleotides) under Nicotiana benthamiana. Its description in RNAcentral is "long non-coding RNA (NBEN_LNC035300)". The record is from RNAcentral. Lineage: Eukaryota; Viridiplantae; Streptophyta; Magnoliopsida; Solanales; Solanaceae.